GACGAACCGUGCAAACGUUGUUCGGAAUCACUGGGCUUAAAGGGCGCGUAGGCGGGCCAGACAGUCUGUGGUGAAAGCCUCCAGCUUAACUGGAGAAGUGCCGUGGAUACUGCUGGCCUCGAGGAGGGUAGGGGCAUCUGGAACGGUCGGUGGAGCGGUGAAAUGCGUUGAUAUCGACCGGAACUCUGGUGGCGAAGGCGAGGUGCUGGACCCUUUCUGACGCUGAGGCGCGAAAGCCAGGGGAGCAAACGGG
Molecule: ribosomal RNA, 253 nt
Filed under: uncultured bacterium
Lineage: Bacteria
Description: partial 16S ribosomal RNA
Rfam family: Bacterial small subunit ribosomal RNA
Source: RNAcentral